This is a long non-coding RNA of Beta vulgaris subsp. vulgaris (sugar beet), 286 nucleotides long. RefSeq lists it as uncharacterized. The record is from RefSeq and is a predicted model, not a curated record. The transcript has 2 exons. Lineage: Eukaryota; Viridiplantae; Streptophyta; Magnoliopsida; Caryophyllales; Amaranthaceae.
UAUUGUAUAGUGAAGAUAAUUGGGUGCAAAAUAUUAUGAUAAUGGAAUUUAUCAAUAAUGCAACAUGUGGAAUUGUGGAUCACUGGAUUGGAAAUGGAAUCACAUUCUCUUUUUCUUUUUUCUUUUUUCUUUUUAUUUUUUUAAUUAUUGGGUGGUAAGUAAAAUGGUAAAUACUUCUAAUUGUGGAAAUUUAGGUAAGUUGUUAUCGUCACUUUAUUUAUUAUUUAAUGGCUGAGAAUUGGGAUGUCUUGUUGUACACUCUCACCUUUAGAUAUAAAAUUUAAAU